CCUACGGGGGGCUGCAGUGGGGAAUUUUGGGCAAUGGGCGAAAGCUUGACCCAGCGACACUGCGUGGGCGAAGAAGAUCUUUGGAUUGUAAAGCCCUUUUGUUGGGGAGUAAGCGAAUGCGCAGGAAAUGGCGUGUUCGUUGCAAGUACCCGACGAAUAAGCCCCAGCCAACUACGUGCCAGCAGCUGCGGUAAUACGUAGGGGGCAAGCGUUGUCCGGAAUUACUGGGUGUAAAGGGUGUGCAGGCGUCUUGCUAAGUUGGGUGUGAAAUCCCGGAGCUCAACUCCGGAGCGGCAUCCAAUACUGACAAGAUCGAGGUUAUGAGAGGGAAGCGGAACUCCCGGUGUAGCGGUGAAAUGCGUAGAGAUCGGGAAGAACACCAGAGGCGAAGGCGGCUUCCUAACAUAAUACUGACGCUCAGACACGAAAGCUAGGGGAGCAAACAGGAUUAGAUACCCCGGUAGUC
This 466-nucleotide ribosomal RNA is filed under the name uncultured bacterium. RNAcentral describes it as "bacterial SSU rRNA". It matches the Rfam family "Bacterial small subunit ribosomal RNA", at positions 338 to 795 of the family's 1533-position model. The record is from RNAcentral.